UACCUGCAGCUCAAGUGGUGACCGCUAUUAUUGGGCCUAAAACGUUCGUAGCCGGCUGAGUAAAUGCUUGGGUAAAUCGUGCCGCUUAACGGUACGAAUUCCGAGUAGACUGCUUAGCUUGAGACCGGGAGAAGCUAGAGGUACUCCUGGGGUAGGGUGAAAUCCUGUAAUCCUGGGGGGACCACCAGUGGCGAAGGCGUCUAGCUAGAACGGGUCUGACGGUGAGGGACGAAACCCUGGGGCGCAAACCGGAUUAGAUACCCGGGUAGUCCAGGGCGCAAACGCUGCUUGCUUGAUGUUAGCUGGGCUCCGAGCUCAGCUAGUGUCGGAGAGAAGUUGUUAAGCAAGCUGCCUGGGAAGUACGAUCGCGAGAUUGAAACUUAAGGAAUUGGCGGGGAGCACAGCAACGGGUGGAGCGUGCGGUUU
Molecule: ribosomal RNA, 426 nt
Filed under: uncultured archaeon
Lineage: Archaea
Description: bacterial SSU rRNA
Rfam family: Archaeal small subunit ribosomal RNA
Source: RNAcentral